This is a long non-coding RNA of Oreochromis aureus, 503 nucleotides long. The record is from Ensembl. Lineage: Eukaryota; Metazoa; Chordata; Actinopteri; Cichliformes; Cichlidae.
GGUUCGUGGAGCUGUAGAAAAUCAAGAGCGGCAUAGGAGGGCUAACUAGGCUCAUAAGAUGCUUCGGUGAUGAUAGCCCUACACAAAGGAAGAGGACAGAGGACCUCAUUUUCUAAAGGAAGAUCCCUCACACACUUUCAAGACUGUGAAGCCGACAGGUAUUGAAGACACGUUUUCUAAGAGGAUGAAAGUUGGCAUUGCGAUGGUGAAAGAAGAAGACAUCAUCGAUGUGUUGGUCGUCCUUGAGGCGGCAGUAAUCCUGUCUAAUCUGAGGGAUGUCUCAAGUGCCAUUUCCAUGCUGAUGGGCCUUCUUUUUGCCCUCAACAUAGACUAUCCAAAGGAACUUAAGGACAUCUUUGAAGUCAUUCAGAACGUCCUAAUGAACAUUGGUGGAAGGCAGUGCAUCUCACUAGUGCAUGGUCUAAGAAACAGACUCUUGCAGAAAGCCAUGCAGAACUGUAAUUGUAUGCUCACAGCAUACAAUUGCCUUAGUGUUAAGGACA